AAAACUUUCAACAACGGAUCUCUUGGUUCCCGCAUCGAUGAAGAACGCAGCGAAAUGCGAAAAUUAAUGUGAAUUGCAGAAUUCCGUGAAUCAUCGAGUCUUUGAACGCACAUUGCGCCCUUUGGUAUUCCGAAGGGCAUGUCUGUUCGAGCGUC
RNAcentral lists this ribosomal RNA (155 nucleotides) under Phaeophyscia orbicularis. RNAcentral's name for it is "5.8S ribosomal RNA". It matches the Rfam family "5.8S ribosomal RNA". Rfam says of the family: 5.8S ribosomal RNA (5.8S rRNA) is a component of the large subunit of the eukaryotic ribosome. Lineage: Eukaryota; Fungi; Ascomycota; Lecanoromycetes; Caliciales; Physciaceae. The record is from RNAcentral.